AAUGACUUUUUGUAUUUAGAUGACUUUGACUUGUAAAUCAUGACAUAAACCAGUAGUUGUCAAUCAAAGAGUGUUUUGCUUCAUCAUUUCGUUUCAGUUGAUUUCUUCUCUUAUGCAAUUAAGAUUCAGUGAUCAUUUUCACCUAAUUUCCAUCUAUACCAUCCAUGUCUUCCUUCACUUCAUCCUCCAAAAUCUGCCAGGAAUUUGAAUCCAUAUUAACUACCGAUCCAAAGAAGAGAAGGUACAACGUGUUCUUGAGUUUCUGCGCUCACGAUAAGGGUUAUUUUCUUUCGAGUCUCGAAGAGGCUCUUAGUUUAGAAGCUGGUAUCAAUGUUUUUGGGGACAUUAAGAGGUUUCAGCAUGUAGAGUCUGUGCUGAAUGUAAUUCAAGACUGCAAAGUCGCUGUAGUCUUGUUUUCAAAAAAUUAUACUAAUUCAAGUUCGUGUAUACAAGAAUUGGAGAAAAUAACUCAGUGUUGCCGAACCUCAGAUUUGGUUGUUCUGCCUGUGUUCUAUCAAGGUGUCGGUCCCUUCUAUCAUGGAGAUAUGUUUGGAGGAGACACUUUUCAUGAUUUUCUGGAUAGAAUAUCAAUGGAGGAAAUCUCUAAAGAAGAAGACAAGCUCAUGACCUGGGUAGCAGCGAUCACUAAAGCUAACAAAUAUUUAGGAUCACGUGAUCUCAUACCCAAACCCAUAUACAGGUACGAACAUGUAUCAAUUACGGACUAUAUUAAGGAUAUAGUUGAACAUAUUACAUGUGUGAUAAACAAGAAUAGAGAUUUUUGUGCGAAUUCCUGUACACCCAGUGUAAAAUCUGGUGUGCAAGACGUGAUUCAACUAUUGAAACAAUCAAAAAGUCCUCUCAUAAUAGGGAUAUGGGGGAUGACAGGGAUUGGUAAAUCAACCAUUGCCCAAGCCAUUUACGAUCAAAUUGGUCUUUAUUUUGAACACAAGAGUUUCCUUAAAGACCUUGGGGUACUUUGGGAAGAACAAAAUCAUGAUCAAGUUUUAUUCAAAGGUCAUCAACAUCAUAGGGUACUUCUUGUACUUGAUAAUAUUGAUAAAUUGGAGCAGUUGGAUGUUUUGGGCCUACGAAGAAGUCGUAAAUGGUUUGGUGAAGGUAGCAAAAUAAUCAUCACAACAAGAGAUAGACAUCUACUCAAGAAGCAUGGAAUUGACCAUAUAUAUAGAGUGAAAGAAUUGGAUGAAAGUGAAUCACUUAAAGUUUUUAAUUUAGCUGCAUUCAGCCAAGCAACAACUCCACAAGAAGAUUUUAGUGAACUUUCUAGACAGCUAGUUGCUUAUUCUAGGGGAUUGCCUCUUGCUCUUAAAGAACUUGGGUUCUUUUUGAAUGGAGAGGAAGCACUUAAGUGGAAGAAUGUGUUGAAGAGUCUCAAAAGACUUUCCAUUCCAGCUCCACGACUACAAGAAGCUCUUGAAAAGAGUUUUAGUGAUUUGAGUGAUGAAGAGAAACGAAUAUUCCUUGAUAUAGCAUGUCUCUUUGUUGGGAUGAACCUAAAUGAUGUAAAGCAAAUAUUAAAUAGGUCAACACAAUCUGCAGCUCUCGAGAUAAGUAACCUUGAAGACAAGAGCUUUCUAACCAUUGACGAGAAUAACAAGCUUGGAAUUCAUGUUCUGCUACAAGCCAUGGCGAGAGAUAUCAUUAAAAGAAAAUCAAGCAAUAACACUGAUCAGCCAAAGAUGUAUGAUGUGUUCUUGAGUUUCAGAGGAGAAGACAAUCGGGCAAAGUUCAUGUCACAUCUCUAUUCCUCUCUUCAAAAUGCGGGGAUUUAUGUUUUCAGAGACGAUGACGAGAUUCAACGAGGAGAUCAUAUCUCAAUCUCACUGUUGCGAGCAAUUGAACAGUCUAGAACUUGUAUCGUUGUUUUGUCUACAAAUUAUGCUAAUUCAAGAUGGUGUAUGCUAGAGUUGGAGAAGAUAAUGGAAAUUGGCAGAAACAGGGGUCUGGUCGUUGUGCCAGUAUUUUAUGAGGUAGCUCCAUCAGAAGUACGCCAUCAGGAAGGUCAGUUUGGGAAAUCUUUUGAUGAUCUUAUAUCAAAAAAUUCAGUAGAUGAAUCCACAAAGAGUAAUUGGAAAAGAGAACUCUUUGAUAUUGGUGGAAUAGCAGGGUUUGUCCUCAUAGAUUCCAGGAAUGAAAGUGCUGAUAUCAAGAAUAUUGUUGAACACAUCACCCGUUUGUUAGAUAGGACAGAGUUAUUCGUUGCUGAACAUCCAGUGGGUGUAGAAUCUCGUGUGGAAGCUGUGACUAAGCUACUAAACAUCCAAAACUCAGAUGAUGUUUUAAUUUUGGGGAUAUGGGGAAUGGGGGGUAUGGGGAAAACAACCCUUGCCAAAGCAAUUUAUAAUCAAAUUGGGAGCAAAUUUGAGGGAAGGAGCUUUCUUCUGAAUAUAAGAGAGUUAUGGGAGACAGAUACUAAUCAAGUUUCUCUACAGCAAAAGAUACUUGAUGAUGUUUACAAAACAUUGACAUUCAAGAUACGUGAUCUAGAAUCAGGCAAAAAUAUGUUGAAGGAAAAACUUUCCCAGAAUAGGGUUCUUCUUGUGUUUGAUGAUGUGAAUGAAUUGGAGCAGCUAAAGGCUUUGUGUGGUAGCCGUGAUUGGUUUGGUCCGGGGAGUAGAAUAAUAAUCACAACAAGAGAUAUGCAUCUUCUUAGAUUGUGUGGAGUUUAUCAAAUGUAUACAAUAGAAGAAAUGGACAAAAUUGAAUCACUUAAGCUGUUUAGUUGGCAUGCAUUCAAACAACCAAGUCCAAAAGAAGAUUUUGCUACGCAUUCAACAGAUGUGAUUGCUUAUUCUGGGGGAUUGCCACUAGCACUUGAAGUCCUUGGAUCCUAUUUGGCCGACUGUGAAAUAACUGAGUGGCAAUAUGUUUUGGAGAAACUCAAAUGCAUUCCUCAUGAUCAAGUACAGGAGAAGCUAAAAGUAAGCUUCCAUGGUUUAAAAGAUUUUACAGAGAAACAAAUAUUCCUUGAUAUUGCUUGUUUCUUUAUUGGGAUGGACAAAAAGGAUGUAAUACAGAUAUUAAAUGGUUGUGGGUUUUUUGCUGAUAUUGGGAUUAAAGUUCUUGUUGAGCGAGCCCUUGUAACUGUUGACAAUAGGAACAAGCUAAGAAUGCAUGAUCUGUUAAGAGAUAUGGGAAGACAAAUAAUUUAUGAGGAAGCACCAUCAGAUCCUGAGAAGCGCAGUAGGUUGUGGCGCCAUGGGGAGGUGUUUGAUAUAUUAGAAAAGCGUAAGGGAACAGAAGCUGUCAAGGGACUGGCUUUGGAGUUUCCAAGAAAAGAUUGUUUGGAAACCAAAGCAUUUAAGAAGAUGAAUAAACUCAGAUUGCUUCGCCUUGCUGGGGUGAAGCUGAAGGGAGAUUUUAAGUAUCUUUCAGGAGAUCUUAAGUGGCUGUAUUGGCAUGGAUUUGCAGAACCCUGCUUUCCUGCAGAAUUUCAGCAAGGAAGUCUAGUUUCCGUUGAAUUAAAAUAUAGUAGGCUCAAACAAUUAUGGAACAAGUGCCAGAUGCUUGAAAAUCUAAAAAUUCUUAAUCUUAGUCAUUCUCUAGAUUUGACUGAAACCCCAGACUUUUCCUACUUACCUAAUCUUGAAAAGCUUGUGCUAAAAAACUGUCCAAGUUUGUCCACGGUCUCCCAUAGCAUUGGAUCUCUACAUAAACUUAUUUUGAUAAAUUUGAGAGGCUGCACAGGUCUUCGGAAACUCCCAAGAAGCAUCUAUAAAUUAAAAUCGUUAGAAACUUUGAUUCUUUCUGGAUGUUCUAUGAUUGAAAAACUGGAGGAGGACUUGGAACAGAUGGAAUCGUUGAUUACCUUGAUUGCCGAUAAGACUGCCAUCACAAAAGUGCCAUUUUCAAUAGUAAGGAUGAAAAGCAUUGGAUAUAUUUCUUUUUGUGGCUUUGAAGGAUUUUCACGUGAUGUAUUCCCUUCUCUCAUUCGGUCUUGGAUGUCGCCAUCAAAUAAUGUGAUAUCCCUUGUUCAAACAUCUGUGUCCAUGUCAUCACUUGGGACUUCCAAAGACCUUCAAAAACUUCGAAUUCUUUGUGUGGAGUGUGGUUCAGAUCUGCAACUAACUCAAGAUAUAGUAAGAUUUCUGGGUGUACUAAAAGCCACAAGUUAUCAGAAAUUGGAAGCAAGUGCUAUUUCAAUUCCUUCAGAGAUCUCUGAUAUGUAUGCUUCUCCCUUAAUUGAUGAUUUUCUAGGUAAAGUUUGCACUUCAGGGUCAAUGAAUCACUUGAAAUCUCUCUUAAUUCAAAUGGGAACAAAAUGCCAAGUCUCCGAUAUUGCUGUAGAUGUUUUACAGACUGCAGAUGAGACUUGGGAUUCGUUUUUCCUCCCCUGUGACAAUAAUUCUGAAUGGUCAAGCUUUAGUUGCAAAGGUUGUUCCAUAAUAUUUGAUAUCCCAACAAUAAAGGGACGAAACCUGAAGAGUAUGAUCUUGUUCGUUGUCUAUUACUCUUCCUCGGAAAACAUAACAUCAGAUAGUUGCCAAGGUGUGUUGAUCAUAAAUUACACAAAAAGAACCAUUCAGGUUUAUAAAAGAGAUACGCUAACCUCGUUUGAGGAUGAGGAUUGGCAGAGCAUAACAUCUAAUCUAGAACCUGGUAACAAAGUGGAGGUAAUGGUUGUAUUUGGGGAGGGUUUCAUUGUUGAGAAGACUACAAUAUCUCUCUUAUAUGAUGAACCAGUCAACAAAGAAAUGGAAUGUUGUCAUGUAGUAGACGUGGAUGAUGUUAUUGUUUCUGGAAAUGACGAUAAUAAUGUUGGUGUUUCUAGUGGUGAUAAUGAAGUCAUUAAUCAGUUUGGAGAGGAAACGCCGAACCAUUUGCAGAUCAUUAGUCCCGCAGAUGGGUGGUAUGCCGAUGUUGUGGGACCGGUACUGCUAGUACCAUAUGACCUUCACCAGCUUGCGGAGGCAGAAGCUGAGGAGCUUCAUGCAGCUGAAGAAAAACAUGAUCAGGAGCAACAGGUUCUUCCACUUAAGUGUGAGCCUGAACAGCAUGCAAUAGUAGCGUCAGCGACCAUAGAACCUACUCUAGGAGCUCAGAUUUUGGAUGCUAUCAGAGAGCUCAGGGCUGAUUUCAUCAGACAAGAGCUGACUGUUACUGCUAGGUUGAAUGCAGUAGAUGUGAGAUUGGAGAGGCUUGAGGAUGGCAUUGCCCACAUACUGCAUGGGUCGAGUUUUGAGUCCACUCAUUCUUAGGAUUCUUUCGAUAAUGUUAUUCAUUUCAUUGUUUUAUUGUAAGGUUUUUCUAUAAUGUCUAUGGUAUUAGAAUUGUGCACCCAAAUUCCUUUUAAGUAUAGCACCACAUCAAAGCCUCAAUCUAUCUAUAUAUAAAGUACAUGUUACAAUAUA
Molecule: RNA transcript, 5372 nt
Organism: Medicago truncatula (barrel medic)
Lineage: Eukaryota; Viridiplantae; Streptophyta; Magnoliopsida; Fabales; Fabaceae
Gene name: disease resistance protein RPV1
Exons: 8
Source: RefSeq, a predicted model, not a curated record